UGACUUUGCGCAUGCGGGAACUCACUGUCGUGUAUGUGUGCGCGCGCGGCAGCCGUCGGAUGCUCAUGGCCGUUGGAUUUUUGUGACAAAGACGAUUACUUUCUUCUGCUCCUCCUCGGUAUCUGGCGAUAACACGCCCUGUUGUGUGUGCCAGGGCUUUCCCACUAGAUGGUGCUGUCAAGCUACCAUCUUCUGUUCACCAGACCUGGGAAGAGAUGAGGUUUCUGCUAAGGAAGCCUGACUUUACAUGGCCUCUGACCCUGGCUGGGCUGAGCUGGAUGGACUCUGGAUUGGCCCUGCUGCUCCUCCAACUGGCUCGUAUCCAACAUAACCCCGCUGGACCCGAGUGUGUGGCUGUGUGUGUGUUUGCAUGUCUAGAUACACAUCUUCAAGUGCUAUUAAUUUCUGUGUCACUCUGUGGUUCAAAAAGCACAGGUAUUAUGGGUAAUACCUUUCUGUUAUUGAUUUUAUUUGCCUACUAAAACAUGCUAUUAUUCUAUUGUGUUUUUGUGUUUUGUAUUUGUUAAAAGCUGCACUUAAAUGAGUUAAACUAAAUUAAAAUGUCUUCAUGUACUUCUACAGAAAUUGAAACCUCUUGUUCGUGCUGCACCCAUAAUUCCAGUGUUUUACAAGCUUCUAACCGGCCGUUUGUUGUUAUUCAUUUCUUGAUGUUGUGAAGCUUAAAUCCAUUAAAGUUGGCAACAGUGAAGUGA
This is a long non-coding RNA of Micropterus salmoides (largemouth bass), 713 nucleotides long. RefSeq lists it as uncharacterized. NCBI's taxonomy places the organism in Eukaryota, Metazoa, Chordata, Actinopteri, Centrarchiformes, Centrarchidae. The record is from RefSeq and is a predicted model, not a curated record. The transcript is spliced from 3 exons.